Molecule: non-coding RNA, 99 nt
Organism: Mycena polygramma
Lineage: Eukaryota; Fungi; Basidiomycota; Agaricomycetes; Agaricales; Mycenaceae
Source: the annotation of a GenBank genome assembly
GACCCAAUAGCAUAGUUGGCUAGUGCGCCCGCGAGGAUUCAACAGUUGCAAAAAAAAGCUUUUCGAUGGGAGGCCCUUGUUCGAACCGAGGUUGGGUCA